RNAcentral lists this ribosomal RNA (790 nucleotides) under uncultured euryarchaeote. Its description in RNAcentral is "bacterial SSU rRNA". It matches the Rfam family "Archaeal small subunit ribosomal RNA", at positions 85 to 878 of the family's 1478-position model. The record is from RNAcentral. Lineage: Archaea; Methanobacteriati; Methanobacteriota.
ACGGCUCAGUAACACGUAGCUAAUCUGCUCUAAUCCACAGAAUACCCUCGGGAAACUGAGAACAAUGCUGUAUAGGUGAUGUUUUCUGGAACGUGACAUCAUCCAAACGCAAGGGAUUAGAAUGAGGCUGCGGCCUAUCAGGUUGUUGUUGAGGUAAAGGCUCAACAAGCCUAUGACGGGUAGGGGCCUUGAGAGAGGGAGCCCCCAGAAGGACUCUGAGACACAAGUCCUAGCCCUACGGGGUGCAGCAGGCGCGAAAAUUUCCCAAUGCACGCAAGUGUGAGGAAGGAAUUCUGAGUGCUAGAGUUUUUACUUUAGCUUUUGCCAUGUGUAAAAAGCAUGGCGAAUAAGGACUGGGCAAGAUCGGUGCCAGCAGCCGCGGUAAUCCCGACGGUCCGAGUGGGACUCACAUUUAUUGGGUCUAAAACAUCCGUAGCCUGCUUCUUAAGUUUUGUGUUAAAUUGUUAUUCUUAAGAUAACAGCCGCACAAAAUACUGUGAAGCUAGGGAUUGGGAGACGUAACGAGUACAGCUUGAGUAGCGGUAAAAUACGUUAAUCUCAGGUGGACUAACGAUUAGCGAAGGCAUCUUACGAUGACGGUUCUGACAGUGAGGGAUGAAGGCUAGGGGCGCAAAUUGGAUUAGAUACCCAAGUAGUCCUAGCAGUAAACACUGCGCACUAAACCUUGUGACCUCCUCGAGAGGUUGCAGGGCUGCAGCGAAGGCGAAGAGUGCGCUACCUGGGAAGUAUAGCCGCAAGGCCGAAACUUAAAGGAAUUGGCGGGGGAGCA